Molecule: ribosomal RNA, 497 nt
Filed under: uncultured bacterium
Lineage: Bacteria
Description: partial 16S ribosomal RNA
Rfam family: Bacterial small subunit ribosomal RNA
Source: RNAcentral
GAUGAACGCUGGCGGCGUGCCUAAUACAUGCAAGUCGAGCGAACGGACGAGAAGCUUGCUUCUCUGAUGUUAGCGGCGGACGGGUGAGUAACACGUGGAUAACCUACCUAUAAGACUGGGAUAACUUCGGGAAACCGGAGCUAAUACCGGAUAAGAUUUUGAACCGCAUGGUUCAAAAGUGAAAGACGGUCUUGCUGUCACUUAUAGAUGGAUCCGCGCUGCAUUAGCUAGUUGGUAAGGUAACGGCUUACCAAGGCAACGAUGCAUAGCAGACCUGAGAGGGUGAUCGGCCACACUGGAACUGAGACACGGUCCAGACUCCUACGGGAGGCAGCAGUAGGGAAUCUUCCGCAAUGGGCGAAAGCCUGACGGAGCAACGCCGCGUGAGUGAUGAAGGUCUUCGGAUCGUAAAACUCUGUUAUUAGGGAAGAACAUAUGUGUAAGUAACUGUGCACAUCUUGACGGUACCUAAUCAGAAAGCCACGGCUAACUACGUG